Molecule: ribosomal RNA, 460 nt
Filed under: uncultured bacterium
Lineage: Bacteria
Description: partial 16S ribosomal RNA
Rfam family: Bacterial small subunit ribosomal RNA
Source: RNAcentral
CCUACGGGUGGCAGCAGUGAGGAAUAUUGGUCAAUGGGCGCGAGCCUGAACCAGCCAAGUAGCGUGAAGGAUGACGGUCCUAUGGAUUGUAAACCUCUUUAGGCGGGGAGCAAUGCCGGGCACGUGUGCCCGGAGGGAGAGUACCCGCAGAAUAAGCAUCGGCUAACUCCGUGCCAGCAGCCGCGGUAAUACGGAGGAUGCGAGCGUUAUCCGGAUUUAUUGGGUUUAAAGGGUGCGUAGGCGGAUUUUUAAGUCAGCGGUAAAAUGUCCGGGCUCAACCCGGGCCGGCCGUUGAAACUGGGGAUCUUGAGUGGGCGAGAAGUAUGCGGAAUGCGUGGUGUAGCGGUGAAAUGCAUAGAUAUCACGAAGAACUCCGAUUGCGAAGGCAGCUUACUAAACUGCCACUGACAUUGAUGCUCGAAAGUGUGAGUAUCAAACAGGAUUAGAUACCCUGGUAGUC